RNAcentral lists this long non-coding RNA (417 nucleotides) under Felis catus (domestic cat). RNAcentral describes it as "lncRNA (ENSFCAG00000043458.2)". Lineage: Eukaryota; Metazoa; Chordata; Mammalia; Carnivora; Felidae. The record is from RNAcentral.
CCUAGAGGAUCCUGGCUGGGGGCUACUAGUUGCUGGCAGGAGGCCGGGAGGCGGAGAGGGCUCAGAUAAAGAUCAAGGUCAAUGAAAGGAGAAGCAACAAAUACAAGCUAGUCGGGACAGAGAGAAAAGGAGGGCAGAAAACACCCAGAGAGGAGGAGACGAGACCCCCUUCAGACCCCUCAGGCUGCGAGGAGACACCGGCUCAGCCUAGAGCUCCCUCUCUGGAGGCAGAAACGUGAGGCACCCACAGGGCAGAAGAGGAGUAAGAAACUUAUUAACAAGAGCACAUUAUUCGUAGCAGUGACUGAGAACCAAAUUCCUGGCAAAGCUUGAACAACUGUGGCAAAAACCUGCCCGGAGUGCUUCCUGCCUUCUCACUGAGAUUCAGAAUAAACACUUCCUGAAGCCUUGUCGUCA